RNAcentral lists this ribosomal RNA (854 nucleotides) under uncultured bacterium. RNAcentral's name for it is "bacterial SSU rRNA". It matches the Rfam family "Bacterial small subunit ribosomal RNA", at positions 673 to 1525 of the family's 1533-position model. The record is from RNAcentral.
GUGUAGAGGUGAAAUUCGUAAAUAUUAGGAGGAACACCAGUGGCGAAGGCGUCUAUCUGGUUCAAAUCUGACGCUGAGGCGCGAAGGCGUGGGGAGCAAACAGGAUCAGAUACCCUGGUAGUCCACGCUGUAAACGAUGAAUGUUAAAUAUGGGAAGUUUUACUUUCUGUAUUACAGCUAACGCGUUAAACAUUCCGCCUGGGGACUACGGUCGCAAGAUUAAAACUCAAAGGAAUUGACGGGGACCCGCACAAGCGGUGGAGCAUGUGGUUUAAUUCGAUGCAACGCGAAAAACCUUACCACUCCUUGACAUGGAAAUUAUACCUAUUCGAAGGGAUAGGGUCGGUUCGUCCGGGUUUCACACAGGUGUUGCAUGGCUGUCGUCAGCUCGUGUCGUGAGAUGUUGGGUUAAGUCCCGCAACGAGCGCAACCCUCAUCCUUAGUUACCAUCAGGUAAUGCUGGGGACUUUAAGGAAACUGCCAGUGAUAAACUGGAGGAAGGUGGGGAUGAUGUCAAGUCAUCAUGGCCCUUAUGGAGUGGGCUACACACGUGCUACAAUGGUGGCUACAAUGGGCUGCAAAGUCGCGAGGCUAAGCUAAUCCCUUAAAAGCCAUCUCAGUUCGGAUUGUACUCUGCAACUCGAGUGCAUGAAGUUGGAAUCGCUAGUAAUCGUGGAUCAGCACGCCACGGUGAAUACGUUCUCGGGUCUUGUACACACUGCCCGUCACGCCAUGGGAAUUGGUUUCACUCGAAGCUAACGACCUAACCGCAAGGAGGGAGUUAUUUAAAGUGGGAUCGGUGACUGGGGUGAAGUCGUAACAAGGUAGCAGUAGGGGAAUCUGCGGCUGGAUCA